Molecule: ribosomal RNA, 519 nt
Filed under: Phaeomoniella chlamydospora
Lineage: Eukaryota; Fungi; Ascomycota; Eurotiomycetes; Phaeomoniellales; Phaeomoniellaceae
Description: partial 28S large subunit ribosomal RNA
Rfam family: Eukaryotic large subunit ribosomal RNA
Source: RNAcentral
ACGGCGAGUGAAGCGGCAAAAGCUCAAAUUUGAAAUCUGGCUCUUUUCAGGGUCCGAGUUGUAAUUUGUAGAGGAUGUUUCGGGCAAGACUUCGGUUUAAGUUCCUUGGAACAGGACGUCAUAGAGGGUGAGAAUCCCGUCUUGAACCAUCUGUCGCGUCCGUGUGAAACUCCUUCGACGAGUCGAGUUGUUUGGGAAUGCAGCUCUAAAUGGGAGGUAAAUUUCUUCUAAAGCUAAAUAUUGGCCAGAGACCGAUAGCGCACAAGUAGAGUGAUCGAAAGAUGAAAAGCACUUUGAAAAGAGAGUUAAACAGUAUGUGAAAUUGUUGAAAGGGAAGCUCUUGCAACCAGACUUGUUUCCAACGGUUCAACCGCUGUUUUCAGUGGCCUAUUCCGUUGGUUCAGGCCAGCAUCGGUUCGGGUGGUUAGUUAAAGACUUUGGGAAUGUAUCUACCCCUCCGGGGGUAGACUUAUAGCCCUUUGUGUAAUGUGACCUACCUGGACCGAGGGACGCGCUUUU